AAGUCUCAUAACACAAAGGGUCUGAAUAAUGAUAUACAUUUGCUGACAUUUCUAAAAACCUGUUUUUACUUUGUCAUUGUGGGGUAUUGUGUGUAGAUUGAUGAGGAUUAUUAUUUUUUUUUAAUCAAUUUUAGAAUAAGGCUGUAACGUAACAAAAUGUGGGAAAGGCAAGUGGUCUGAGUACUUUCCAAAUGCAUCGUAUUUGGAUAGCUGGAUAAGAAGGAGAGAGCUGUUCAGACCCUGUGAUCACCCCCUCUGCCUACACCACCUCUGAUGCCGUCAUCUCCUCUGAGUCUGUCUUUAUCGUGGAGCUCAGCCUGGCCUGCACCAAUGGCGCCCAGAGUGUGGCUCUGUAUGCUGACGUCAAUGGCAGACAGUUCCCCGUGACCAGAGGCCAGGAUGUUGGCAAGUACCAGGUGUCCUGGAGCAUGCCCCACAAACAGGCUAGCUCCGGUACAUACCAGGUCAAAUUCUUUGAUGAGGAGUCCUAUAGCUCUUUGCGCAAGGCGCAGAGGAACAAUGAGGAUAGUGACUCCAUCCAGCCUCUCUUCUCUGUCAACGUGGAUCACAGGGGUGCAUGGAAUGGCCCGUGGGUGGCUACUGAGGUUAUGGCUGUUCUCAUCGGUAUACUGCUCUACUACCUGGCCUUCAAUGCUAAAAGCACCAUCCAGGCAUAAAGGACUGCAAGUCCCACAAUUCUCUGCAACUGGAACUCUAAAAUACUGUUGAAUUCUGGUGUGACUUUUCUACCAAUCCAGAACAACAAUUUGCCACCAUCCAUUUCGAGAUGCGGAACUAGUUGUUUUAUAUUUUGUAUUUACAUUUUUUUUAAGCAGAAGAAGCUAUUGCAUUGUGUCAAGUUGUGGUAAAAACUGCACACCUCAAUCAAACCUGAUGUACCCCACAAACUGAAUUGAGCACAGUAAUUUUGUGUUCAAAAGCAAACCCAGGUCCUGAAAGUUAAAGGACUGUUUCUAUAUGCCAACACUGACUUCCUUUCACAGCCUCGGGCUUAUUGUUUACCUACCGGUGGACUUGGCCUCUGAGAGACAAGAGUAUCUGUCCAUCAUUCUGUGGUCUUUCUUGUGAAGGACCUUCAUUGGUACUGAUUCUACACAGUCUAAAAUGACUGGUUCUGUAUCUACAAGAGUCUGAGUAGGAGUGCUGAUCUAAGAUCAGUUCCCCCAUUUUCUAUUCAUUAUGAUCUGAAUAGCAAUACUGAUCCUAGAUCAGAACUCGUACGCUGAGAUACUGUGAAUACGGACACUGGUGUUUAAGAGUCUGAUGCCACUGUGGACUUGGCAGUUGCUGACUGGCUGUGUCUUACCGACAGUACAUGGAACUGUUGCACUGGCUCGCUGAAGAGGCCAAAUAUUCAAGUAUUGGUGAUUAUUUUUGCUUGGUGGUCAAAUGAAUAAAUGGUUUGCUUUUC
This is an RNA transcript of Oncorhynchus kisutch (coho salmon), 1432 nucleotides long. It is a transcript of the gene named translocon-associated protein subunit delta-like, with no coding region annotated. The transcript has 6 exons. The record is from RefSeq and is a predicted model, not a curated record. NCBI's taxonomy places the organism in Eukaryota, Metazoa, Chordata, Actinopteri, Salmoniformes, Salmonidae.